Arabidopsis thaliana (thale cress) is the source of this 493-nucleotide RNA transcript. RefSeq lists it as uncharacterized. The transcript has 3 exons. The record is from RefSeq. Lineage: Eukaryota; Viridiplantae; Streptophyta; Magnoliopsida; Brassicales; Brassicaceae.
UUCCGUCGGGAAAUUUUCUCACUCUCUCUAUUGGUCGUCUCUCUCGACGCUGCUCACCAUUCCGAGUUCGUUUCACCAAAUCGAUGACCCAAUUCUAUAUGUGUUUGUCCCAAAUCCAAUCUCCCACCAAACCCUUGCUUCGUUCCCUCGAAUCAGAGCAUUGUCAGAUAGGAAGAUGACUAAGCUUUGAUUGAUUUAGUUGUGUAGAUGAUUUGGUUCUUUAGAAAACGAAGAAGUUAUCUGAUUGAUCUGUUUCGUUUUAUUGUUUGUUGCAUGGGGAUCAGUGUUGUUGAUUUGGAUCCCAUAAGAACCAGCUUUUGCUUGGGUGAUCGUGUGCCCACUAAGUUGAAGAAAGCCAUCAUGCAAGCCCGAGAAGACAAGAAGCUGACUCAGUCCCAACUUGCUCAAAACACUGCACAUGUAGCAGGCUUAACUAUCUUUCAAACUACUCGGUUCGACAGAUCUUUCUUAUAGAGAUCUUCGUAUAGCAUAU